Molecule: long non-coding RNA, 203 nt
Filed under: Ananas comosus (pineapple)
Lineage: Eukaryota; Viridiplantae; Streptophyta; Magnoliopsida; Poales; Bromeliaceae
Description: long non-coding RNA (ACOM_LNC003410)
Source: RNAcentral
AAUUCAAUUUUUCUGUGUCACACCCCAAUUCCAUAGCAGAAACCAUGAAACGACAACAGACCGCCGUAUGUACACCAACCCUGUACACACGAAGCGUCUAACACAAUAAAAGCAACAACAUAACUCUAAAAUCCACAACAAAAAAAUCUCCAAGCGGAUCCAUAACUAACAAUUCUAAAGUUAUAGAACUAAACAUGAAACAU